AGUGAAACUGUUGGUCUCCGAGGCAGCACUACUCCUCUUCCCUUUGCAAGCGGGGAAGAGGACAGAGCAAACACGGGCAGCCUUCUUGAAGGCUUGCCUUUAGCCCUGCCUGCCUGAAGUCCUCUGACUCUUCCUGCUGACGUCUCUACCGGACAGGCAGGCAAAGAAACCCCGCCCUAGCAGCUCCGCCCUGUGCUGGAGGGGCCAUUAACGGAAUCUUGUGUACACUGAAAAAGGUCUUCACUAUUUUUAGGGGCUGACAGUUUUAUAAAUAAGUCAGCAAGGGCUUUUCCACCUUACCUUAAUCUGCUAUGAGUUGCUGGUUUGAGCUCAAGUGGUGACAAUUCAAAGAAGAACAUUCAUGGGGCUAUGUUUUCAACAGAACUGGUGAAACCAUAUCCACACAGGCUAUGGAAGCAGACUCAGCAGACUUGCUGUUCAAAAGACCAUUCCUAAGGAUUUUUAAGAAUUUUUUUUCUGUUGAAAAAAAAAAAACCUGUAUUUCCAAUCUCAUCUGCAUGUACUGCCACAACAUACUGGAUGUAAAUAAAUUUAAAGAGAUUGUGGACGGUAAGGUCUUGUGGAAGGAUCUACUUCAUGGAUGGCAUCUGCUACUGUGCACAUUCAUUCAUUCAUUGAUGUUAAACAUGUUCUUCACAACCCAGAAUUCAGAGCAGGUGAGAAGAGUAAGGAGGAUUCCAUCCAAUUUGAUUUGAACAAUGAACUACACUACACCAUUGAUGAUGAAGACUAUCAAAUUGCGUAGUCUCUACAGGACAUCCCCUUUAGGUUUUUAGUGGGACCAGAGGUUAUAUCGAUUACUUGUGAACUCUUUAUAUGUGAGGCGUCUAAGGAAUGAAGAGACAGCCUUUAUUCUACCAUCUACUUCCUAUUUCAGAGGGUCGAUUGAAGAUUGCCCAAUCUGGAGAGAUCUAUAUAGGGAAAAGAGGACACUUUAUGGAUGAAUCAAUAGACACAGAUAGAGUAAGUAAUUUGAAGAUUUGACCUCCUCUCCACAGCGACAAAAGGUCAUCUGUUACCACUACUUGAAUACCCUCUGGCAUUGGUGGGUUAGAAGUUUAAUUGCUGCAAGAAGUUCAGAAUAUUGGGAAAUGGUAUUCUCUUGACUCUCAGUGCUAUGUACAUCAGAAGAGGGAGUUGGAUCCAUUAAAAACACUCUUUGACCCAAAAGAAUUGUGAACUGUUUUGUGGAGAGAGACCCUUUCCUGAAGAGGCCACACACACCAAUGUUUCAAGUCUUUGGCCUGCUGAGACAGAUUUUUGAAAAAUUAUGUUUGUAUCUCAUCCCAGAAAAAUAAUAAGAUAAGAUAAUGGCUAAAAUCCUAUUGCUUAACAUCAUACAUUGCAACUUGUGUAGGGCCAUUAAAUCAGUGGGGAUUUGGUGAAUCAGUUCCUAUGUAUGUUCCAUUGAUGCAAAUAGGCUUAGUCUAAUUGCAACUUACUACAUCAAAGCAAGUGAUAAUUAGAGUAGGUUUAUUUAGUGAAUAAACUUACAGGGUAGUUUAUUCA
RNAcentral lists this long non-coding RNA (1530 nucleotides) under Pogona vitticeps (central bearded dragon). RNAcentral's name for it is "lncRNA (ENSPVIG00000019380.1)". The record is from RNAcentral. Lineage: Eukaryota; Metazoa; Chordata; Lepidosauria; Squamata; Agamidae.